Molecule: ribosomal RNA, 54 nt
Filed under: Aeranthes leandriana
Lineage: Eukaryota; Viridiplantae; Streptophyta; Magnoliopsida; Asparagales; Orchidaceae
Description: partial 5.8S ribosomal RNA
Source: RNAcentral
GACAUGACUCUCAACAAUGGAUAUCUCAGUUCUCGCAUCGAUAAAGAGCACAGC